GGACAGCCAUCGCCGAGUCCCCGUACGGCGCGAGCCAGGGGAGCCGGGGACCCACCGUCCCUGGGGUGAAUCGGGCGCCCGCGCGGCAGCGAGGGGGCCCGUAGGAGACCUUCCUGCUCCGAACCCGUCAGCUAACCCGGUAGGCGAGAGGGAAGGAAAGG
RNAcentral lists this small RNA (161 nucleotides) under Streptomyces roseochromogenus. RNAcentral describes it as "Streptomyces roseochromogenes c-di-AMP sequence". It matches the Rfam family "c-di-AMP riboswitch aptamer (ydaO/yuaA leader)". From Rfam's summary of the family: This family represents a conserved RNA structure found upstream of the ydaO and yuaA genes in Bacillus subtilis and related genes in other bacteria. The ydaO/yuaA element is thought to act as a genetic "off" switch for the ydaO and yuaA genes in its native state. RNAcentral also lists the same sequence under 1 other name. The record is from RNAcentral. Lineage: Bacteria; Bacillati; Actinomycetota; Actinomycetes; Kitasatosporales; Streptomycetaceae.